UGACAAACAUGCGCUACAGAGUGCUUUCAUUUAUUAUCGAGGGAGUUCCAGCACCUGUUAGCAUACAGGCGCCUUCGGGCUGUCGCCAGUUCCAUGCCUUGUGUUUAAAUCAGCUGUGCUUAACAUUCAGCUCCAGACUGAAAUGGCCUGUGAGAUACCACUUUGUGUAUUUCAUAAGUAUUCCAAGUACUUGCAGAUGUAUUUUCUAAAAUAUCACACAAUUUGGAUCCAACAUAGUGUAACAGUAAACCUUGCUAUCUCCUUUUUCCUAUCCGUAGCUGCUAGGUAACUUCCAGACUGUGUAAAUAAUUUACGCACUUUUUAUUUACGUGAUUACAAGAUGCAGUCUUUCUUUCUUGCUUGUAUGAGCAUUAAAGUGGCAAAAUUUAUUGAGUUCAGUUAAACUUUUCCUGAUCUACAUCGGUAUAGUUGAGAAGCAAAUUGGAUCCUCCAUGAAGUCCCAGGAUAAGUAUCUUCUAUUUCAGACACUGUUCUUGCUGUUAAUAUAUUUUCCAUUAUCUGAGCAGCAGAAUGAUGCCUUUUCAUUUUAAAUUGCAGGUCCUGACAGAAAUGCAUAUCAUUGGGCUUUAAGAGACGUUUUAAAAUCCGUACUCGCAAAACUAGUAUUUGUAUUUAUUUUACCAUCACAAAGUUUAGUUUCUCUUAGGAAAUCAACACUUCUUCAUAAAAUUUUGGCUCUCGGAAUAACUGCUGUAAGAUAAUUUUUUUGCUUUAGAACUUUUUUGUUGUUGUUUUCUCCCUGUAAUUCUGACUGCUUCUCAUACAGCAACUUCAUCAGCCUCUCCCUUCUAAUCAGCUUCAGUAUUUACUGGCUAAAUAAUUAGUACUAGUCCUUGCUGUCUUCAAGGGUCACAGCAGAACCAGUGUUCCUCUCACCACUUAAAAACCUAUCUACUUUUUUUUUAAAAAGACUCUGAGAUAUGGUGUGUUUAAGUUGUAAGAAUUUGUGAAGUGAGGGUUUAACAGUGGGAAAAUGAACCUGAACUUUGUUUUCUAGUCUUCAAAAUCCUCUGCAUCUCCAGGAGCAAUCCCAUGUCAGAUAUCCGUCAAAGGCUGAGGUUCAGUUAUAAGUUGGAGCUCAAAACACCUGGGGGUCCAGCUGCCCCCCAGCGCCCUGACUAACAGCACUAGUUAACAGCGUGCGCUCCCUCAGCCAGCUGUCAGUGUGAAUUUAGACAUCCCUAAUCUCAUUUAUAUCACCAGCCUGGUUUGAAUCAUUGUAGGUUGUGGCAAUAUUAAUAUCCUAUGGCAAGGAGCCCUACUGAUCGUCACCCAUUGAGCAAUUUUAAGUUUUUGGUCCUAAAAGCUGCGUGACAGUGAGUUGUGUAGACCGCUGGCAGACAUUUGCAAUGUGUUUACUUCAAUUUCAUCAGUUUUCCCAUUCCUGGAAAAGAUUAAUAGGAACUUCUGGUAUAUUUUAUGAGACUCAUUCAUUUCCUUUUAAAAUAAACCAAAGCCAAAUAAAAUAGUCCAAUGUUUUCCUGCAGAAAUCAUCUUGUGGGUUUUUUACAGUAUUUUCACCGGUUUUCCUUGGACUCUUUCAGCUCUACAUGUUUUGACCAGAGGUUUGAGAACUGUAGUAAUUGAGGUUUUCUAAUAUUGAUUAUUAUCAGUUAUUUUACAGCUACAUGCUCAGAAUAAUUUGCCUGAAACCGAGCAAAUAACUAACACUGGGGCUAGAAAGAGCAACAAAAAAUGUGUCAUCAUGUCCCUUGGACAGUAAAAGGGGUUAAUGUCCUGAAGACAAAACCACCAUUACAGUAGAAAAGCCUCCCCUUUUUAAAUUUAAUUAUUAACUUACAGUCACAUGCCAAAUGCUCAUCUUGUUUUCAUACUGCUGAAAAGGAGAUACGAUGUCUUUGAAGCUUCCCCAAAUAUUUGAAAACCUGCAUCUUUGUGAUCACAGAGAAUUGCUUGAGAGUGACAGCUCUGGGCAAACACGAAAAGACAGAAAUUACAAAGCAACUUGGCAAAAAAUGGAACUAUGAAUAAUUAUUUGUCUGGCUGACAGAGAGAUUUAAGGGCCCAGUUUUCCGCUUUCCACUGAGUUAUGCUCACUUCUAAUCAUUCGAAUUAUAUAAAAGAUCAUCCUACGUUGUUGUCACUCUGGUGUUUCAUGGGGACUCGGAGUAAUAGACAGUGAUUGGAAACUCUGAAGUGAUUUAGUCUUUUCAGCCAAAAAGCUUAACCUACCUUUUGUCUUGCCUUGGAAUAGCUACCCCAAAAAGAAAAAAAAUUGACCUAUUUUUACGGUGUAAGCGUUCUCCUUUUUUUUUGUUGAUUAGUGCCUGUUCUCUAAAAUAACUAAGUUUCCUUUAACUGUCUUGCUACUUAAACUGGAGGAGAUGAAAAAUGGUUUAAGAGAUGGUUACAAGGUGGGCGAGGCUACGGAAAACUUCAUAUUUCUGGCUGUGCCACGGACCUCUUUUAAUGCUGGGGAAGUUGCUUUGGUCUCCAGGCUAGUGACUCUGUUCCUGUGCUCCAGCCGAGCCAUAAUCAAUCACUGAAUGUGAGCAUAGGCUUGGCCUGUUGCAAACUUAAAACGUAUUAGUCCUCGUUAGUUUGAGACACGAGCCAGCACGCUGGCCCUCUGUUUAGCGCAGGGCAGAGUUCGCGUGGUCCCCCGGCAGCGUGAAGCAGGCCGGCGCGCUGAGCUGCCCGAUCCUGGCCUUGCAGGAGACAACAUUGGCUGCGGCGUUUCCUUGCAGCAAAAUGUUUUGCUGUGGAGCCUGUGAGAUCUGUUGAAGUUUUUGCUGGCAGCCUCGGGGACCUCCAGCCACAGGACCGUUGCUGGAGACCCUCUGGGAGGCAACGGUCCGAGUAGCACCAGGUCUUCAUUUUGAAGAAUGCAAUUUUUGGCUCAAGCAGAGGCCAGCGAUCACUAAUUUAGAUUCAGAAGGAGAGGUGUAAACUGGGAUUUCCGCUCAUAUAAAACCUUCAGUGCUUUACAGCAUAUGUUCAAGUAGUCCCACAUAAUCUAGUAAUGAAAAGCUGAAUUUUUAAAAGCUGUACUUUCAAGGUUCGUUUCAAAGCUAUUGUGAAGUACGUUCAAAUGGAGCUGGAUGAACAGUGCAUUUUUCAGUUUGUCUGAACUGAAAAAUUGUAUUAAAAUAAAUUGGCUUGUAUUAAUCCAAAAUAGAAAAGAUUUUGUUUUAUUGGUGAAAUAUAAAUCCCACAGAAUUAAUUCUGAGUCAAUCUGAAAUAUUUAUUUUAUAUAAUUAAUAUCUAAUUCUUGCUUUAUAGUAACCUUUUUUUAGCCUCUUCCUAUAAUCCCUCCAUCCUGUCAUGUAAUCCCAUUUUAAAAAUGCAUUAUUGAAACCUAAUGCUGUAAAAUUGUAUUCUAAACAUUGUUAGAAUUAUUUUAACAUUUCCUAAAUAAAAUAUUCAAUUCUGAAAAUAUCAGAAUACUCUUUUCCCUAACAAAA
Molecule: non-coding RNA, 3446 nt
Organism: Phalacrocorax carbo (great cormorant)
Lineage: Eukaryota; Metazoa; Chordata; Aves; Suliformes; Phalacrocoracidae
Source: RefSeq, a predicted model, not a curated record